Molecule: ribosomal RNA, 464 nt
Filed under: uncultured bacterium
Lineage: Bacteria
Description: partial 16S ribosomal RNA
Rfam family: Bacterial small subunit ribosomal RNA
Source: RNAcentral
CUACGAGAGGCAGCAGUGGGGAAUAUUGCACAAUGGGCGCAAGCCUGAUGCAGCCAUGCCGCGUGUAUGAAGAAGGCCUUCGGGUUGUAAAGUACUUUCAGCGGGGAGGAAGGGAGUAAAGUUAAUACCUUUGCUCAUUGACGUUACCCGCAGAAGAAGCACCGGCUAACUCCGUGCCAGCAGCCGCGGUAAUACGGAGGGUGCAAGCGUUAAUCGGAAUUACUGGGCGUAAAGCGCACGCAGGCGGUUUGUUAAGUCAGAUGUGAAAUCCCCGGGCUCAACCUGGGAACUGCAUCUGAUACUGGCAAGCUGGAGUCUCGUAGAGGGGGGUAGAAUUCCAGGUGUAGCGGUGAAAUGCGUAGAGAUCUGGAGGAAUACCGGUGGCGAAGGCGGCCCCCUGGACGAAGACUGACGCUCAGGUGCGAAAGCGUGGGGAGCAAACAGGAUUAGAUACCCCAGUAGUC